AAAUUGAAGAGUUUGAUCAUGGCUCAGAUUGAACGCUGGCGGCAGGCCUAACACAUGCAAGUCGAGCGGUAGCACAGAGAGCUUGCUCUCGGGUGACGAGCGGCGGACGGGUGAGUAAUGUCUGGGAAACUGCCUGAUGGAGGGGGAUAACUACUGGAAACGGUAGCUAAUACCGCAUAACGUCGCAAGACCAAAGUGGGGGACCUUCGGGCCUCAUGCCAUCAGAUGUGCCCAGAUGGGAUUAGCUGGUAGGUGGGGUAACGGCUCACCUAGGCGACGAUCCCUAGCUGGUCUGAGAGGAUGACCAGCCACACUGGAACUGAGACACGGUCCAGACUCCUACGGGAGGCAGCAGUGGGGAAUAUUGCACAAUGGGCGCAAGCCUGAUGCAGCCAUGCCGCGUGUGUGAAGAAGGCCUUCGGGUUGUAAAGCACUUUCAGCGGGGAGGAAGGCGGUGAGGUUAAUAACCUCAUCGAUUGACGUUACCCGCAGAAGAAGCACCGGCUAACUCCGUGCCAGCAGCCGCGGUAAUACGGAGGGUGCAAGCGUUAAUCGGAAUUACUGGGCGUAAAGCGCACGCAGGCGGUCUGUCAAGUCGGAUGUGAAAUCCCCGGGCUCAACCUGGGAACUGCAUUCGAAACUGGCAGGCUAGAGUCUUGUAGAGGGGGGUAGAAUUCCAGGUGUAGCGGUGAAAUGCGUAGAGAUCUGGAGGAAUACCGGUGGCGAAGGCGGCCCCCUGGACAAAGACUGACGCUCAGGUGCGAAAGCGUGGGGAGCAAACAGGAUUAGAUACCCUGGUAGUCCACGCUGUAAACGAUGUCGAUUUGGAGGUUGUGCCCUUGAGGCGUGGCUUCCGGAGCUAACGCGUUAAAUCGACCGCCUGGGGAGUACGGCCGCAAGGUUAAAACUCAAAUGAAUUGACGGGGGCCCGCACAAGCGGUGGAGCAUGUGGUUUAAUUCGAUGCAACGCGAAGAACCUUACCUGGUCUUGACAUCCACAGAACUUAGCAGAGAUGCUUUGGUGCCUUCGGGAACUGUGAGACAGGUGCUGCAUGGCUGUCGUCAGCUCGUGUUGUGAAAUGUUGGGUUAAGUCCCGCAACGAGCGCAACCCUUAUCCUUUGUUGCCAGCGGUCCGGCCGGGAACUCAAAGGAGACUGCCAGUGAUAAACUGGAGGAAGGUGGGGAUGACGUCAAGUCAUCAUGGCCCUUACGACCAGGGCUACACACGUGCUACAAUGGCAUAUACAAAGAGAAGCGACCUCGCGAGAGCAAGCGGACCUCAUAAAGUAUGUCGUAGUCCGGAUUGGAGUCUGCAACUCGACUCCAUGAAGUCGGAAUCGCUAGUAAUCGUAGAUCAGAAUGCUACGGUGAAUACGUUCCCGGGCCUUGUACACACCGCCCGUCACACCAUGGGAGUGGGUUGCAAAAGAAGUAGGUAGCUUAACCUUCGGGAGGGCGCUUACCACUUUGUGAUUCAUGACUGGGGUGAAGUCGUAACAAGGUAACCGUAGGGGAACCUGCGGUUGGAUCACCUCCUUA
RNAcentral lists this ribosomal RNA (1540 nucleotides) under Klebsiella variicola. RNAcentral describes it as "bacterial SSU rRNA". It matches the Rfam family "Bacterial small subunit ribosomal RNA". The record is from RNAcentral. RNAcentral also lists the same sequence under 1 other name. Lineage: Bacteria; Pseudomonadati; Pseudomonadota; Gammaproteobacteria; Enterobacterales; Enterobacteriaceae.